AGUGAACGCUGGCGGUAGGCCUAACACAUGCAAGUCGAACGGCAGCACAGUAAGAGCUUGCUCUUACGGGUGGCGAGUGGCGGAUGGGUGAGGAAUACAUCGGAAUCUACUUUUUCGUGGGGGAUAACGUAGGGAAACUUACGCUAAUACCGCAUACGACCUACGGGUGAAAGCAGGGGAUCUUCGGACCUUGCGCGAAUGAAUGAGCCGAUGUCGGUUUAGCUAGUUGGCGGGGUAAAGGCCCACCAAGGCGACGAUCCGUAGCUGGUCUGAGAGGAUGAUCAGCCACACUGGAACUGAGACACGGUCCAGACUCCUACGGGAGGCAGCAGUGGGGAAUAUUGGACAAUGGGCGCAAGCCUGAUCCAGCCAUACCGCGUGGGUGAAGAAGGCCUUCGGGUUGUAAAGCCCUUUUGUUGGGAAAGAAAAGCAGCAGGUUAAUACCCCGCUGUUCUGACGGUACCCAAAGAAUAAGCACCGGCUAACUUCGUG
This 492-nucleotide ribosomal RNA is filed under the name uncultured bacterium. Its description in RNAcentral is "partial 16S ribosomal RNA". It matches the Rfam family "Bacterial small subunit ribosomal RNA", at positions 29 to 507 of the family's 1533-position model. The record is from RNAcentral.